Molecule: ribosomal RNA, 539 nt
Filed under: Lisarda schweinfurthi
Lineage: Eukaryota; Metazoa; Arthropoda; Insecta; Hemiptera; Reduviidae
Description: partial 16S ribosomal RNA
Rfam family: Bacterial large subunit ribosomal RNA
Source: RNAcentral
UAUCAAAAACAUGUCCUUUUGAGUUUAUUUAAGGUCUGACCUGCCCAAUGAUUAUAAAUUUAAUGGCCGCGGUAUAUUAACUGUGCUAAGGUAGCAUAAUCAUUUGUCUUUUAAUUGGAGGCUGGAAUGAAAGGUUGGACGAGACAUUAACUUUCUUUAAUUUGAUUAGUAGAAUUUAAUUUUUCAGUUAAAAAGCUGAAAUAUUUUUAUGGGACGAGAAGACCCUAUAGAUCUUUAUAAAAUAUGUAUUAAUUUCUUUUGGAUGUUAUUGUAAAUUUAAUAUAUAUUUUAUUUAAUUGGGGUGAUUUUAGAAUUAAGUAAACUUCUAAUUAGUUUUUAACAUUGAUUUAUGUUUUUGUGAUCCAUUUUUAAUGAUUAUAAGAUUAAGUUACCUUAGGGAUAACAGCGUAAUUUUCUCGGAGAGUUCAUAUUAAUGAGAAAGUWUGCGACCUCGAUGUUGGAUUAAAAUAAGUAAUUGGUGUAGGAGCUAAUUUACUAGGUCUGUUCGACCUUUAAAUUUUUACAUGAUCUGAGUUUCA